Molecule: ribosomal RNA, 458 nt
Filed under: uncultured bacterium
Lineage: Bacteria
Description: partial 16S ribosomal RNA
Rfam family: Bacterial small subunit ribosomal RNA
Source: RNAcentral
CCUACGGGGGACAGCAGUGAGGAAUAUUGGUCAAUGGGCGGGAGCCUGAACCAGCCAAGCCGCGUGAGGGAAGAAGGUACAGCGUAUCGUAAACCUCUUUUGUCAGGGAACAAAGGCGGGGACUAGUCCCCGGAUGAGGGUACCUGAAGAAAAAGCAUCGGCUACUCCGUGCCAGCAGCCGGGGGAAGACGGAGGAAGGGAGCGUUAUCCGGAUUUUUUGGGUUUAAAGGGUGCGCAGGCGGCCGGUUUAGUCAGCGGUAAAAGCCCGGGGCACAACCCCGGCGAGCCGUGGAAACUGGCGGGCUGGAGUGGGAGAGAAGUACGCGGAAUGCGCGGUGUAGCGGUGAAAUGCUUAGAUAUCGCGCAGAACCCCGAUUGCGAAGGCAGCGUACCGGCUCCACACUGACGCUGAGGCACGAAAGCGUGGGUAUCGAACAGGAUUAGAUACCCCUGUAGUC